GGGGAUGUAGCUCAGAUGGUAGAGCGCUCGCUUAGCAUGCGGGAGGUACGGGGAUCGAUACCCUACAUCUCAG
Transfer RNA from Ipomoea nil (Japanese morning glory), 73 nucleotides. It matches the Rfam family "tRNA". Rfam says of the family: Transfer RNA (tRNA) molecules are approximately 80 nucleotides in length. Their secondary structure includes four short double-helical elements and three loops (D, anti-codon, and T loops). NCBI's taxonomy places the organism in Eukaryota, Viridiplantae, Streptophyta, Magnoliopsida, Solanales, Convolvulaceae. The record is from Rfam.